Molecule: small nucleolar RNA, 106 nt
Rfam family: Plant small nucleolar RNA R71
About the family: R71 is a member of the C/D box family of snoRNAs containing the C (UGAUGA) and D (CUGA) box motifs.
Source: Rfam
AUACAAUGAUGAGGACAUCUCUUAAGUAACUCUUUAAUCUUUCCCAUGCAUCAUAUAAACUCUCAUCUUCAAGUUAAUGGAAAAAUGUGAUCUCGUUCAUUAAUUU